ACCCUGAAAUGAGUAGGUGUCCAAACUUUUGACUGGUACUGUAUCUAUACAUACAUUUACAUAUACAGGACUCUGACUUUGCUCAUCCUAAUACUUAUAGAUUUCUUAAAUCCAUUCUUCUACUCAGAUUUGUGUGUAUUGUUAGAUAUUACUGCACUGUUGGAGCUGGGAACACAACCAUUUCACUACAGCCAUAAUAACAUCUGCUAAAUAUGUGUACGUUCAUAUUGACGUUUUCUGAUAGGUUCAAUUCUGCAGUGUAUGAUAUGUAACCAUGGCGACGCUGUAAUAUAUAUCCCUCCCUUCAUUCAUCAGCGUUACCAAGAAGGACAAAGCCACCGUCUGUGUGACUCCAGAUGCAAGAUGGAUCAACAAAGUCAUUGGCAAGUUACAAAGUACCAACAAGAAGAAGAGAAGUGCAGAACUUCCUCAUCUCAACCACCACUGAGUGAAUUGGAACAGGAAUGUAUCAAGUUGGAGCUAAAUGGACAUGUGAUACCAAUGUGAUACCAAUGUGAUGACAAUGUGACGCCAAUGUGAUACCAAUGUGAUACCAAUGUGAUACCAAUGUGAUACCAAUGUGACGCCAAUGUGAUGCCAAUGUGACACCAAUGUGAUGCCAAUGUGAUACCAAUGUGAUACCAAUGUAAUGCCAAUGUAAUGCCAAUGUGAUACCAAUGUAAUGCCAAUGUGACACCAAUGUGAUACCAAUGUGACACCAAUGUGAUACCAAUGUGACACCAAUGUGACACCAAUGUGAUACCAAUGUGAUACCAAUGUAAUACCAAUGUGAUACCAAUGUGAUACCAAUGUGAUACCAAUGUGACACCAAUGUGAUACCAAUGUGAUACCAAUGUAAUACCAAUGUGAUACCAAUAUGAUGCCAAUGUGAUACCAAUGUGAUGCCAAUGUGAUACCAAUGUAAUACCAAUGUGAUACCAAUGUGAUACCAAUGUAAUACCAAUGUAAUACCAAUGUGAUACCAAUGUGACACCAAUGUGAUACCAAUGUGAUACCAAUGUAAUACCAAUGUGAUACCAAUGUGAUACCAAUGUAAUACCAAUGUAAUACCAAUGUGAUACCAAUGUGACACCAAUGUGACACCAAUGUGACACCAAUGUGAUACCAAUGUGAUACCAAUGUGAUACCAAUGGAUUCUGUUCAAAUAUGAUUCCAAUACCAA
This is a long non-coding RNA of Oncorhynchus keta (chum salmon), 1183 nucleotides long. RefSeq lists it as uncharacterized. NCBI's taxonomy places the organism in Eukaryota, Metazoa, Chordata, Actinopteri, Salmoniformes, Salmonidae. The transcript has 2 exons. The record is from RefSeq and is a predicted model, not a curated record.